RNAcentral lists this ribosomal RNA (350 nucleotides) under uncultured Planctomycetota bacterium. Its description in RNAcentral is "bacterial SSU rRNA". It matches the Rfam family "Bacterial small subunit ribosomal RNA", at positions 46 to 382 of the family's 1533-position model. Lineage: Bacteria; Pseudomonadati; Planctomycetota. The record is from RNAcentral.
GGAUUAGGCAUGCAAGUCGAACGAGGAUAUAUCCUUCGGGAUAUAAGCCGAGUGGCGCAAGGGUGAGUAAUGCAUAGAUUACCUGCCUCCAGGAUAAGGACAACUUUGUGAAAACGGAGCUAAUACUUAAUAACACAGAAGAAAAUAAUUUUCUUUUGUCAAAUGGAGGGUAGCAAUACCUUUCGCCUAGAGAGGGGUUUAUGUCCUAUCAGCUUGUUGGUGGGGUAAUAGCCUACCAAGGCAAAGACGGGUAGCCGGUUUAAGAGGAUGGUCGGCCACACUGGGACUGAGACACUGCCCAGACUUCUACGGAAGGCUGCAGUCGAGAAUCUUUCGCAAUGCCCGAAAGG